RNAcentral lists this ribosomal RNA (268 nucleotides) under uncultured bacterium. RNAcentral describes it as "partial 16S ribosomal RNA". It matches the Rfam family "Bacterial small subunit ribosomal RNA", at positions 793 to 1055 of the family's 1533-position model. The record is from RNAcentral.
GUCCACGCCGUAAACGAUGAUAACUAGCUGCCGGGGCACUUGGUGCUUCGGUGGCGCAGCUAACGCAUUAAGUUAUCCGCCUGGGGAGUACGGUCGCAAGAUUAAAAACUCAAAGGAAUUGACGGGGGCCUGCACAAGCGGUGGAGCAUGUGGUUUAAUUCGAAGCAACGCGCAGAACCUUACCAGCGUUUGACAUGCCGGUCGCGGAUUCCAGAGAUGGAUUCCUUCAGUUCGGCUGGACCGUGCACAGGUGCUGCAUGGCUGUCGU